RNAcentral lists this microRNA precursor (136 nucleotides) under Hordeum vulgare. RNAcentral describes it as "microRNA MIR1122". It matches the Rfam family "MIR1120/MIR1122 microRNA precursor family". The record is from RNAcentral. Lineage: Eukaryota; Viridiplantae; Streptophyta; Magnoliopsida; Poales; Poaceae.
AUUGUACUCCAUCCGUCCCAAAAUUCUUGUCUUAGGUUUGUCUAGAUAUAAAUAUAUCUAGUCACGUUUUAGUAUUUAGAUACAUUUAUUUCUAGACAAAUAUAAGACAAGAAUUUUAAAACGGAGGGAGGGAGUA